UACGGGGGGGGCAAGCGUUGUUCGGAAUUACUGGGCGUAAAGGGCUCGUAGGUGGCUCGCUAAGUCAGACGUGAAAUCCCCCGGCUUAACCUGGGAACUGCGUCUGAUACUGGAAGGCUUGAGUGCGGGAGAGGGAUGUGGAAUUCCAGGUGUAGCGGUGAAAUGCGUAGAUAUCUGGAGGAACACCGGUGGCGAAGGCGGCAUCCUGGACCGACACUGACGCUGAGGCGCGAAAGCUAGGGUAGCAAACGGG
RNAcentral lists this ribosomal RNA (253 nucleotides) under uncultured bacterium. RNAcentral describes it as "partial 16S ribosomal RNA". It matches the Rfam family "Bacterial small subunit ribosomal RNA", at positions 524 to 776 of the family's 1533-position model. The record is from RNAcentral.